Non-coding RNA from Microcebus murinus (gray mouse lemur), 494 nucleotides. The record is from RefSeq and is a predicted model, not a curated record. NCBI's taxonomy places the organism in Eukaryota, Metazoa, Chordata, Mammalia, Primates, Cheirogaleidae.
CUGGGGGUGCUCUGCCAGGGGAGACUGAAGAACAACGGUGAUUGGCCAUCAGCCUGUGACAUCACAAAGGGCAGCAGGAGCGAGAAGGAAGCGGGAACACUGAGGUGACAUAAAAUGGUCCGGUCUAUCCGUACCAGGAAAUGCCACUCAGCAAUGCCACUCCCAACAGCACGGGCGAAUCUCAAGUGUGUUGAGCUGCGCGGCAGCCGCCAGGCGCAAAGAUGACCACGUCCCGUGUGGUUCCACCUACAGGACACUCUGGAAAAGACAGAGGACAGAACGGUGGCUGCCAGGGGCUGGAGGUGGGGGCAGGGCUGUCUACGAAAGGGCCCGAGAAAACCAGAGAGGGGAUGACAGCACCGUCCCGGGGGGGAGGCUACCAACUAUACGUGUAUUUCUCAAAACCCGCAGAACUUUCCACUAAAAAGAGUGCCUUCUACUGCACAUAGAUUGUACUUCAAUAAAACAGAGGGGUCUGGAGCCCCAGAGGUGGA